UGCCGCGUGAGUGAUGAAGGCCCUAGGGUCGUAAAGCUCUUUCGCCUGUGAAGAUAAUGACGGUAGCAGGUAAAGAAACCCCGGCUAACUCCGUGCCAGCAGCCGCGGUAAUACGGAGGGGGUUAGCGUUGUUCGGAAUUACUGGGCGUAAAGCGCACGUAGGCGGAUCGGAAAGUUGGGGGUGAAAUCCCGGGGCUCAACCCCGGAACGGCCUCCAAAACUAUCGGUCUAGAGUUCGAGAGAGGUGAGUGGAAUUCCGAGUGUAGAGGUGAAAUUCGUAGAUAUUCGGAGGAACACCAGUGGCGAAGGCGGCUCACUGGCUCGAUACUGACGCUGAGGUGCGAAAGUGUGGGGAGCAAACAGGAUUAGAUACCCUGGUAGUCCACACCGUAAACGAUGAAUGCCAGUCGUCGGGUAGCAUGCUAUUCGGUGACACACCUAACGGAUUA
Molecule: ribosomal RNA, 449 nt
Filed under: Paracoccaceae bacterium
Lineage: Bacteria; Pseudomonadati; Pseudomonadota; Alphaproteobacteria; Rhodobacterales; Paracoccaceae
Description: bacterial SSU rRNA
Rfam family: Bacterial small subunit ribosomal RNA
Source: RNAcentral